UCUACCUAAAAAACCAAAUAAUGUAAAAAUUAAUGCCUUGCAACAAUGUAAAACUAUAAUCUUUGUAAACAUUAUCAUUUUUUUCAUAUUGCAUAUGUAUCUCCUUUAAUGCAAAAUAAGAUAUAUGACACAAAAGCUUUCUAAAAAUGGGCACAUUAUUAGAUUUUGUGAGUUGCAAGUUUCACUUUAAUCGUGUUGAAUUCAUGUCUGAUUGCAAUAAAAAUAUUUUUUUGACUACUUUGAAAGACACCCAUGGAUAUUUGUAUAGACAAUAUGUGUUUGGUGUUAACAUCUUCACACCUUGAAAAUAAUCGAUAUAAUGAUGGAUGCACAAAGAUAUCGGUAGAAGGUUUAUGGUUGUAAGUCAACUUGUUUUCCUUAUGUAACCCUAGAUCCAUCAUUUCUCUUCAUACGUACAAUUUGGAAGGGGAAUUUGAUCAAACGAGAUCCGUUGUUCUUCCUUUUAUCUCAAAUACACAAUCUAUUUACGUAUAAAUCAACAUGAUCACAUUGCAACGUGACAUAUUUGUAUUUUCUUGAAUCCCAAAUAAAUACUCAAUAUCCUUUAGUGACUCUUUAGUAAUUGAUCAUAUGAUUUAGAUUUGGAGUUAACUAAAUCGAAUUCUUCGUUUUAUAUCAUAGAACUUGAUAAAUCUAUUCCUCCUGUUGAAUCAAUUUUAAAACAAUCAUACUUCACAUUCAAGAACCAAACACAUGGUUUUAACAUAAUAAUAAUUAAUAUAUUAACACAUUGUUUUAAAAGAAUGAAAACCAACCAUAAUAUUUCGAGUUUUUUUUUUGUCCCUCACCAACCCUAUUAAGGUUAUAAUGUUUAUAUCUUUGCAUAUGGCCAAACUAGAUCCGAAAAACACAUAUAAUGGUAACAUACUUUCUCAUUUCUAUAAAUUAUACAGUAUGUAUCUCAAAGAAUAUUAAGUAUUUAACAUAUAAUACAUUUGUUUAGUUAGUCGUCUAGGACCAAAGGAUCUUAUUGUAACGUCCAGGUUUGUCUACCAGGGUACACCCUAAAAUUUCAUUUCUCUUCUAAAAUUUACAAAUAGUUUUUUGUGUACACUAGCACGGUGGUAUAGAAGAAGUUAUCAUAAGGAUCAUAUUGGCCUCAAGUACAUGAUGUAGUCCGGCGUCAAAAUAAACUACAUGUAAAAUAGAUCAUCACAAAAAUGUAAGCCUCAUGACUUAGUGAAUAACAAUUAUAAUAACGUAAUCUCAUAGAUCAUAUAAAUCACAUAAUUAAACCGAACCAUACCAAAAUUUUUAGUUUUUUGAAAAUUUAAAACCACACCAUUGGUCUUAUGUUCGUUUUUGGUUUUUCGGUUAUUUUGCAGUUUUUCUGUUAUCUGUUUGGUUUUUGCUUACCCUUACGUCUUAUGGUAACACAUCAAUGAAUCUCGUAGUCGACCUCGUGUCUCUUGUACAACAUUAUAUUUCAUCCGCUAUAAUCUUCCAAGAACGACUUACGAGUGCCAAAGUCCCCUAUAUGACACAAAAACACACAUAUUUAUACUCUAUAGUGCCCCACGUGGUGGCCAUAAGCAUGCCACAUCGUGGUGAUCAAGUAAAAUCCUGUUUCACCACAUGUCGCACUCUCCCACCACGUGUCUCGGUGACUCGCCUCAUACCACAUUGUGGUGAAUCUACUACCACGUUGUGGUGAUGAGAUAGACUCCGUCUAGCCACGUGUCGCUCUCCGGUUGACAUGUGUAUUGAUGAUUCACUCAUUGCCAUGUCGUGGCAAGCAUACAACCACAUUGUGGUGGUCAAGAGUGUGACCGUUCACUUGACUUCUGUUGACUUUCUCAAAAUAGCAAUGCACUUUCAUCUAAAUCUUCAAUACGGUCAUAAAUUUCUCAUACGAACUCCGUUUUCGAUGAUAAUUAUAUCCACAAAAUCAUCUCAACAAGAUCUAAAACACUCCUUAAUUAUCUUUUGCUAAACAACAUUUCUCAAUUUAAAGCACCUCAAAGUUUUAUUUCAUCUCUUAUCUCAUAAAAUUUACGCCCCGUAAAAUAAUACAUGUUACGAAAAACCAAGUGUUACACUUAUAGAGACUAGUCAAGAAGUCAAACUAAAAAUGUAUUAUUUUCCUCUAAGGAUAUACAAAACAUAUACUUUUCAUUCAAUAAAUUUAACAUGUAAUCCAUUUGCUUGUUAUUUAACAUAUAAUUCAUUUUAGUGGUCUAGUUACGGAGAGUUUAAAAAAAAAAAAAAGAUAUCGUUUUUUUCCAAUUGUUAUAUUAAAUGUUUGCAUCGAAACAAAAACAUUUUUAUUGUCUGCUUCCUUAAUAUGAUAUUAUAUUAGAAAUUGGUAACAAUUCACGUGAUGGAUUCAAUGUUGUCUACAUGGAAUCAAUGUAUGAUGUUAUUAAUCUAAUGAAACUAGGGCACAAAAUCAUGUUGUUUUUGUAAUUGCAACUGUUUUAAAUGACCGUACUUUAAGCAAUAUACAUAGAAUUUGGAGUUACCGUUUGAGAGUCGGCUGAAAAAGAAGCGGCUGAAGAGCAACCUCAAAGGAGUGUAUGUUUCGUCGUGCGUGGUUUGGACUCCCGAGCCUAAUCAUGAGUUUUUUAGAAACAAAAAACUGAAAUUUCUCCCUAUUAAAUAAAUAGGUUAUAAUCGUCACUAUAUAAAUAACUAAACAUCAAAAUAUGCCGCGGAAAUAUAAGCGUCCUAAGUAUUAUAGACAAACAAGUCAAAUAUUUUACGAAGGGUGACGAUGUCGAUUCUUUGUUUUGUUUGUUAUGCCGUCCAAAACUAAGAUUCUGCGCACAAAGAGAUUGUUAGUGUCUUCUACACCUUUAUCUAGAAAAUGCUUUUAUGUCUUCCUAUGUAAACAAAUUGACAAGUGUUAUCAUCUCAUUGGCUGGCUGAUUUGGAUCCCCCAAUCACUUUAUCCAUUUAUAAUUCAUUACCAAAACUCUCCAC
Molecule: long non-coding RNA, 2943 nt
Filed under: Lactuca sativa (garden lettuce)
Lineage: Eukaryota; Viridiplantae; Streptophyta; Magnoliopsida; Asterales; Asteraceae
Description: long non-coding RNA (LSAT_LNC005232)
Source: RNAcentral